UAGGAACUCUGGAGGCUCUUGAGAGAGGCCCUUUUGAAACAAUCUCUGGCUGGAAGACUCUUUGAGGAAGGACGCUGGCCUGGUGUCACUAAAAUCCUUGUUUAGUCAGACCUUGUGGUGUUGGGGAUCAACGAAGCCUCCUUGAAUAUGUGUCAUGAAUUCUGGGACCCAAUCUCCUAACCCAUGCUUAGACUGGAAGGCUGGAUCACUAGAGGAUGGCUGGAUAUUUCUCCCCACAGGAUUCUAAAGCAUUAAGAUGAUUUUGGAGAAAUCUGGAAAGACUUACAUGAACUAAUGGAAAGUGAAGUAAGCAGAAUCAGAAGAACUUUGUACACAUCUUAUUCCAGUGCCUUAAAGAAGUUUAAUAGCAAGGAAGACAGUAUGAUGUAUUGGAAAGUAUGCUGCAUCAUGACAGGCAACCUGAGUUCAAAUACCACUUUGGAUACUUAUCAGAUGAGGAAAAUGAGUCCCAUUGAAGUUGAACAACUUGUUCCAGGUCAUAAUGGAGUGCUCCCAGGAGGGAUGGUCAUGGAACCAAUCUGAUCAGAGGAUCUUUCCAUCUUAGAAAAAUGAAGCUAAUGGAUUGAACUCCCUUCCCAGCUUCCUGUGAAAAAGAAAACCAGAAUCGACAUUUGGCAAGUAAUUUGAUGUCUUGGGAAUAGUUUGGGGGCAUUU
This 675-nucleotide long non-coding RNA is filed under the name Monodelphis domestica (gray short-tailed opossum). Its description in RNAcentral is "lncRNA (ENSMODG00000031454.2)". The record is from RNAcentral. Lineage: Eukaryota; Metazoa; Chordata; Mammalia; Didelphimorphia; Didelphidae.